UGGGGCUCUCCGCCGCGGCUCCCAGGGAAUCAGCCUCCUGCCCGGGGCUUCCCGCACAAAGGCCGGCGGCGGCACCUGGGGGCCGUACAAUGCGGUGCGCGGUCGAGGCCGGGGCGGCCCUGGCGCGGUGCGGUGGAGCCCGGGGAGCGUACCGCACUCCACCACCCACUUAGAGGUCUGUGCGCACCCCUCACCCCAGCGCGCACCCAGCUCCGCCCGGCAGCCUCGCACCUUAGCCCUUACUCCCCACCGCCUUGCAGAUUCGAUUGUAAGAAAGAAACCUGCGCUUUUCAAUGCCUACGUUUUCUCCAGUAAGAGCUUCUAGUUUGAAAAUUUUCUACCCGUACGUAUAAUUAAGUAGUGAAGAAAUCGACCCAUAAAGAACUAAAUUCCAAGCGACGGACGAUAUUCCUUGACGUUCCUGAUUCUAUACCUACCUCCUUCCAUUGACAGUUUGUCUUUUCUAUUGCCGACUAGCCUUAAUUCGCUCUUUAAUCAUAAAAUUUUUAUUUGAAGAUAAGAUAAAGAACAAAGCCCAUAUGAGCCAUUACAUCAGUGGUUGUUGAGAUUCGUCCCGUAGAAGAAGUUUUCGCGUACCGACAUUCGAAUUUUAAAUAGAUAUUCUGGGCACACCUUUUAUAGGAUCACUGCAUUGUGAUCCCAAUACCUUUAGGUCAACACAAGUUAUUUUGUGUAGCCCACUUUUUCUUUUCCUCUGUAAUUUCUUUAGAAGUAAAGCCUCUCCUAAUUUUAUAAAAGCAGAAUAUUUCCCCAUUUGAAAGGGGUUAAAAAGGGAACUCUUUCUAUGUGUCACAUAGUUACUAAGGAGAACG
Lynx canadensis (Canada lynx) is the source of this 833-nucleotide long non-coding RNA. RefSeq lists it as uncharacterized. The record is from RefSeq and is a predicted model, not a curated record. The transcript has 3 exons. Lineage: Eukaryota; Metazoa; Chordata; Mammalia; Carnivora; Felidae.